Long non-coding RNA from Petromyzon marinus (sea lamprey), 547 nucleotides. RefSeq lists it as uncharacterized. The record is from RefSeq and is a predicted model, not a curated record. Lineage: Eukaryota; Metazoa; Chordata; Hyperoartia; Petromyzontiformes; Petromyzontidae.
GAUUAAUGAGUAUGGGCGCAGAGACAAUGGGCUGAAAUAAUGUAACGUAACGCUCUAUGGAAGGGCAGAAAAACGUUUGAAAAUCACAGGUAGGCGCACGAUUGGCUACGCAGGAUAACGUAACCCCCGGAUGUUUUUUUUUAAUCAAGGGGCAUAAAAAGCGGAGCCCAAAACGGUUCAGGUCAGUUCUCCUCUUCAACAGCUUGGUCGCCAGCGGGAGCACCGUCCUGCCUCCUCGAGCCACUCGCAGCAUCCGUGUGAUGCCAGCGAGUGCUGCUACAGUGAUAAGCAAGGUUUUUUCGUCAUUCUCCUUCCGACUCUCACAGUGUCUGUGUGACGCCGUGAGUACAGUUGCGAGAGUGCUUCCAGUCACUACACCCCUGACUAAAGCCACCGACCUUGCUGGAGAAUAGUUUGCAUGCAAAACAGUACACACAACCUUUUGAGGGAGCCAAGAGACUGAAUCAUUACCCUUGGGACUCCUCCAGAAACAACAAAAAUCCACUACGUGUGGCCACGUGGAAUGUUCGAACGCUCACUGCGGAGG